RNAcentral lists this ribosomal RNA (816 nucleotides) under uncultured bacterium. RNAcentral describes it as "bacterial SSU rRNA". It matches the Rfam family "Bacterial small subunit ribosomal RNA", at positions 697 to 1507 of the family's 1533-position model. The record is from RNAcentral.
UUAGGAGGAACACCAGUGGCGAAAGGCGACUUACUGGCCAAUAACUGACGCUGAGGCGCGAAAGCGUGGGGAGCAAACAGGAUUAGAUACCCUGGUAGUCCACGCCGUAAACGAUGAGUACUAGGUGUUGGUUGUUUCGAAACAAUCGGUGCCGCAGUAAAACACAAUAAGUACUCCGCCUGGGGAGUACGGUCGCAAGACUGAAACUCAAAGGAAUUGACGGGGGCCCGCACAAGCGGUGGAGCAUGUGGUUUAAUUCGACGCAACGCGAAGAACCUUACCAAGACUUGACAUCCUCUUGACGGGAUAUGUAAUGUAUCCGUUUCUUCGGAACAAGAGAGACAGGUGGUGCAUGGUUGUUGUCAGCUCGUGUCGUGAGAUGUUGGGUUAAGUCCCGCAACGAGCGCAACCCUUGUUGUUAGUUGCCAUCAUUAAGUUGGGCACUCUAACAAGACUGCCGGUGACAAACCGGAGGAAGGUGGGGAUGACGUCAAAUCAUCAUGCCCCUUAUGUCUUGGGCUACACACGUGCUACAAUGGUCGGUACAGAGGGCAGCGAGAGAGUGAUCUUGAGCGAAUCUCAAAAAGCCGAUCCCAGUUCGGAUUGUAGGCUGCAACUCGCCUACAUGAAGUCGGAAUCGCUAGUAAUCGCAGGUCAGCAUAGUACGGUGAAUACGUUCCCGGGCCUUGUACACACCGCCCGUCACACCACGAAAGUUGGUAACACCCGAAGUCGGUGAUCUUUCCUGCAAAGGAGGAAGCCGCCCACGGUGGGAUCGAUAUUUUUUUUUGAAGUCGUAACAAGGUAGCCGUAAUA